This 336-nucleotide unclassified non-coding RNA is filed under the name soil metagenome. RNAcentral describes it as "partial contains 5.8S ribosomal RNA, internal transcribed spacer 2, and large subunit ribosomal RNA". The stretch from base 1 to 120 matches the Rfam family "5.8S ribosomal RNA", at positions 35 to 154 of the family's 154-position model. The record is from RNAcentral.
GAUGAAGAACGUAGCGAAAUGCGAUAAGUAAUGUGAAUUGCAGAAUUCAGUGAAUCAUCGAAUCUUUGAACGCACAUUGCGCCCGCCAGUAUUCUGGCGGGCAUGCCUGUUCGAGCGUCAUUUCAACCAUCAAGCCCCAGGCUUGUGUUGGGGACCUGCGGCUGCCGCAGGCCCUGAAAACCAGUGGCGGGCUCGCUGUCACACCGGGCGUAGUAGAUUUUAUCUCGCUCAGGGCGUGCUGCGGGUUCCGGCCGUUAAAAAGCCUUUUUUACACAAGGUUGACCUCGGAUCAGGUAGGAAGACCCGCUGAACUUAAGCAUAUCAAUAAGCGGAGGA